GUGUAGCGGGUAGAGCAGACUCUAUAGAGCAGCGAUAGGAGUUCGAGAGUAGAGCAGAACAUUAGGCAGAGUAGCUGCUGAGAGACAUGAUGUAGCGGUUCACUCCAUAGAAAGCAUCCAGAGGGAUCAAGAACCCUGGUACUGGCAGGUCUAUGAGAGGGUCUCUUGGGGGGACUUUUGAGAGAUCUUUUGUGAGGGUAGCUUCUAGUUUAGAGAGUUGUGUAUGGAGAGUUAAGA
This 237-nucleotide long non-coding RNA is filed under the name Elaeis guineensis (African oil palm). RNAcentral describes it as "long non-coding RNA (EGUI_LNC061538)". The record is from RNAcentral. Lineage: Eukaryota; Viridiplantae; Streptophyta; Magnoliopsida; Arecales; Arecaceae.